AUUGAACGCUGGCGGCAGGCCUAACACAUGCAAGUCGAACGGUAACAGGAAGCAGCUUGCUGCUUUGCUGACGAGUGGCGGACGGGUGAGUAAUGUCUGGGAAACUGCCCGAUGGAGGGGGAUAACUACUGGAAACGGUAGCUAAUACCGCAUAACGUCGCAAGACCAAAGAGGGGGACCUUAGGGCCUCUUGCCAUCGGAUGUGCCCAGAUGGGAUUAGCUAGUAGGUGGGGUAACGGCUCACCUAGGCGACGAUCCCUAGCUGGUCUGAGAGGAUGACCAGCCACACUGGAACUGAGACACGGUCCAGACUCCUACGGGAGGCAGCAGUGGGGAAUAUUGCACAAUGGGCGCAAGCCUGAUGCAGCCAUGCCGCGUGUAUGAAGAAGGCCUUCGGGUUGUAAAGUACUUUCAGCGGGGAGGAAGGGAGUAAAGUUAAUACCUUUGCUCAUGGACGUUACCCGCAGAAGAAGCACCGGCUAACUCCGU
This 489-nucleotide ribosomal RNA is filed under the name uncultured bacterium. Its description in RNAcentral is "partial 16S ribosomal RNA". It matches the Rfam family "Bacterial small subunit ribosomal RNA", at positions 30 to 506 of the family's 1533-position model. The record is from RNAcentral.